RNAcentral lists this ribosomal RNA (276 nucleotides) under uncultured Staphylococcus sp. RNAcentral describes it as "partial 16S ribosomal RNA". It matches the Rfam family "Bacterial small subunit ribosomal RNA", at positions 86 to 354 of the family's 1533-position model. The record is from RNAcentral. Lineage: Bacteria; Bacillati; Bacillota; Bacilli; Caryophanales; Staphylococcaceae.
CUGACGUUAGCGGCGGACGGGUGAGUAACACGUGGGUAACCUACCUAUAAGACUGGGAUAACUCCGGGAAACCGGGGCUAAUACCGGAUAAUACAUGAAACCGCAUGGUUUCAUGAUGAAAGACGGUUUUGCUGUCACUUAUAGAUGGACCCGCGGCGUAUUAGCUAGUUGGUAAGGUAACGGCUUACCAAGGCAACGAUACGUAGCCGACCUGAGAGGGUGAUCGGCCACACUGGAACUGAGACACGGUCCAGACUCCUACGGGAGGCAGCAGGG